UACGAAGGGGGCUAGCGCUGCUCGGAAUUACUGGGCGUAAAGCGCACGUAGGCGGAUCUUUAAGUCAGGGGUGAAAUCCUGGAGCUCAACUCCAGAACUGCCUUUGAUACUGAGGACCUUGAGUUCGGGAGAGGUGAGUGGAACUGCGAGUGUAGAGGUGAAAUUCGUAGAUAUUCGCAAGAACACCAGUGGCGAAGGCGGCUCACUGGCCCGAUACUGACGCUGAGGUGCGAAAGCGUGGGGAGCAAACAGG
RNAcentral lists this ribosomal RNA (253 nucleotides) under uncultured bacterium. RNAcentral's name for it is "partial 16S ribosomal RNA". It matches the Rfam family "Bacterial small subunit ribosomal RNA", at positions 524 to 776 of the family's 1533-position model. The record is from RNAcentral.